UCCGCUCAUUCCGCGGUGUCGGCUGCGGCGGCAGUGGUGGUGGCGGGUACCGCACGGGGUAUGGUCCCCGGGUCCGAGGGCCCGGCCCGCGCCGGGAGCGUGGUGGCCGACGUGGUGUUUGUGAUUGAGGGUACGGCCAACCUGGGACCCUACUUCGAGGGGCUCCGCAAGCACUACCUGCUCCCGGCCAUCGAGUAUUUUAAUGGUGGUCCUCCUGCUGAGACUGACUUCGGGGGAGACGUGAGUCUAGGGACUCCUGGGCCUGAGGGAGGAGGGGGCGGGGGCCUGGACUCCUGGGUCUGAAGGAGGGAGAAAGUGCUGGGUCUGGACUCCUGGGUCUAAGGGAGGAGGGACUGGGGGUUUGGACUCCUUGUUCUGAGGAGGAGGGCCUGGGGGCCUGGACUCCUGGGUAUGAGGGUGGAGGCGCUGGGGCUCGGAUUCCUGGGUCCGAGGGAGGAGGGGCUGGGGGCCCAGACUCCUGGGUCUGAGGGAGGAGGCUGGG
This 502-nucleotide small RNA is filed under the name Pongo abelii (Sumatran orangutan). RNAcentral describes it as "retained intron". Lineage: Eukaryota; Metazoa; Chordata; Mammalia; Primates; Hominidae. The record is from RNAcentral.